AAUCCAUAGGUUAAUGAGGCGAACCGGGGGAACUGAAACAUCUAAGUACCCCGAGGAAAAGAAAUCAACCGAGAUUCCCCCAGUAGCGGCGAGCGAACGGGGAGGAGCCCAGAGCCUGAAUCAGCAUGUGUGUUAGUGGAAGCGUCUGGAAAGGCGCGCGAUACAGGGUGACAGCCCCGUACACAAAAGCGCAUGUGCUGUGAGCUCGAUGAGUAGGGCGGGACACGUGGUAUCCUGUCUGAAUAUGGGGGGACCAUCCUCCAAGGCUAAAUACUCCUGACUGACCGAUAGUGAACCAGUACCGUGAGGGAAAGGCGAAAAGAACCCCGGCGAGGGGAGUGAAAAAGAACCUGAAACCGUGUACGUACAAGCAGUGGGAGCACAGGUUUACCUGUGUGACUGCGUACCUUUUGUAUAAUGGGUCAGCGACUUAUAUUCUGUAGCAAGGUUAACCGAAUAGGGGAGCCGGAGGGAAACCGAGUCUUAACCGGGCGUU
RNAcentral lists this ribosomal RNA (496 nucleotides) under Salmonella enterica subsp. enterica serovar Montevideo. RNAcentral's name for it is "partial 23S ribosomal RNA". It matches the Rfam family "Bacterial large subunit ribosomal RNA", at positions 161 to 696 of the family's 2925-position model. Lineage: Bacteria; Pseudomonadati; Pseudomonadota; Gammaproteobacteria; Enterobacterales; Enterobacteriaceae. The record is from RNAcentral.